GACGAACGCUGGCGGCGUGCCUAACACAUGCAAGUCGAACGAAGCAUAGCAAUAUGCUUAGUGGCGGACGGGUGAGUAACGCGUGAACAAUCUGCCCUGUACAAAGGAAUAGCCUCGGGAAACCGGGAUUAAAACCGUAUGACACUUUAGUAUCGCAUGAUAAGAAAGUCAAAUCGAUUAGAGGUAUGGGAUGAGUUCGCGUCUGAUUAGCUGGUUGGCGGGGUAACGGCCCACCAAGGCGACGAUCAGUAGCCGGCCUGAGAGGGUGAACGGCCACACUGGAACUGAGACACGGUCCAGACUCCUACGGGAGGCAGCAGUGGGGAAUAUUGCACAAAUGGAGGGAACUCUGAUGCAGCGACGCCGCGUGAGUGAAGAAGGUCUUCGGAUCGUAAAACUCUGUCCUUGGUGAAGAAAAGGACGGUAGCCAAGGAGGAAGCCCCGGCUAACUACGUGCCAGCAGCCGCGGUAAUCUAAGUCUACG
RNAcentral lists this ribosomal RNA (484 nucleotides) under uncultured bacterium. RNAcentral describes it as "bacterial SSU rRNA". It matches the Rfam family "Bacterial small subunit ribosomal RNA", at positions 28 to 536 of the family's 1533-position model. The record is from RNAcentral.